Long non-coding RNA from Sinocyclocheilus grahami, 2243 nucleotides. Lineage: Eukaryota; Metazoa; Chordata; Actinopteri; Cypriniformes; Cyprinidae. The record is from Ensembl.
AUUUUAUUCUUACUAAGUCACAUACUGUAAACUGUAUAGAUCAGUUGGGUCAUUGCAUCUUAGUUUUAAUGCAGGGUCUGAUCAGGUGAAUGCAUCACUGCUUCAGGAGACAAAAGUAGUGAGAGAGACCAUUGUCCAACUCAACAAGAAGGUACAGUAACAAUCUCAUGCCUAAAAACAAAGACAUUAAAUCCUUCUAAAAGGUUCCUACUUACUGUACAAGCUCAGAAAUGAAACAAAGGAAUGUGAAAAAAACAAAGGAGACAAAUUAAAAUUGCAACUGAUGGUUUAUUUGUAUUUUAUGAUUCUAAUGUUUAUAUAUACUUAAAUGCAAUAUUUUAAAUACAACUCAUUCCAGAUGGGCAACCUGAAACAGGAAGUGUCAAUUCUGACAAAGGAUCUUCAUCACAUAAUGCACCUCCUGGAAGCACAAAUAGCAGUUCAUCAUUACACAGAACCUUUGUCCUCCUGUCCCCAUGGAGUCCACAUGAUGUCCAGUUCUUCUGUCGGUGUGUCUCCAGCCUACAUCUUGGGUUCCAGCAUCCACAUGCAGCACAAAGAACAUGUUGUCCCUGAGGGUCUCCUGGGGUCCACAUCUUGGAGUCACGGCAGACCUGGUGGUGGAUCUGGUUUCGCUCAGCACACUGAGAAACAGGGACACUUUCGCCAGCAUGAGCCCAAUCAACACUCUCCUGUCACAGCAAAUGAGCCCUGUUCCCAUGAUUGGAGUUCCAUCUACACCUCAGUUCCCUCCAAUAUCAGCCACCAUCACUUCUCUACUGGCUCCUCUCUCCUUAGUAUCAGCCCAGGAAGCCUGGGGCCAACACCUGGAGAGAGCCCCCGAGCAGAGGGCUCAUCACUGGGCAUUUGUGCUGGAGAUGGAGCCCAUGCCAGUAUCAGCCAGUCACACCCUGUUUUGCAUACAUUGUUUCCUCAAAAUUUGGACAGUUCGUCUUUUUCUUGCAAGGUCACGCCAAGCUCUUAUUCACACCUACACCUUUCCACAGAACCAGUGUUUCCCUACUCCACUCCAACUGUGGAUGAAGAGCACAGGACUCCAGAGGUGGCCCUCACUCAGAAUGUGGUACCUUCCACUUUCGUACAAGAGAAUUCUCCACACGAAUCAGGCAUAGUUCUCUCUUCUCUUGAGGAGUCACCUGAAGUAGAGCACACCAGUCGGGAGUGCCUACUGGGUAAUCAAAGGCUGGGCCAAGAUAGUGAAACAUCAGAGAGCAGGUCUAGUGGGUCCAGUGUAGGACUUUGUAGCCAAUCCGAGAUCUCAGAGACCACAUGGUGCCUGGAUCUGAUGGACUGACAAUAAGGAAAGACUAUCAUCAAGACAUCUACAACAAACAAUUUUUGAAUUUUAACAAUUUUCCUUUCAUUACGAACUUCAUAUAUUCAGGAGUAUGAAGAGAAAAAGCUGCUCAGCGGUUAAUCAUCUGGACCAUCACCGAACCCAUUUUCCACCAGCAGUGUCUUUGUUGGUGGCAGAGCCAGUGCCUGAUCUGGAAUCUUUUCCUGUUCCACCACAGUAAAUGGCAGUAAUGGUGUGGAAGAACACCACACCAAAUUCUAAAACCUGCUAGUCUUAAACAAGAAAUCACAAUGUUAGAGGCCAGGGCCUGGAUGUGCUUACCAAGUAAGUUUAUUUAUUUUAUUAAACUAGAAUAUCUCUCUCUCACACACACACUUACUGUACUUUUCUGGCACAUACACCAUAUUUGCUGUACACAACAAACUGCAUUCCUCUUUUUUUUUUGUUAAAGAGAUAAUUGACUCAAACAUGAAAAUUGUGUCAUUUACUCACCCUCUUGUUUUUCUAAACUCAUAAGUCUUUUGUUCAUCUGCAUAACAAAAUUGAAGAUAUUUGUAAUAUUCUCUCAACAUUUUUGUCAAUUCAUUAAAAGUUAAAGCAGUAACAAUUUAAGCUUAAAAAAAGUUCAGAAAGACACUAAACGUAUGACCUGUCACACUUACGUCGAGAGCACGGACACGAAAAUAAUACAAUAUAGACUUUUAAAAGGAUCUCCAGACAAUGAAGGUUAAUACAAGACAAAAGGGCACAUAAGCAUUCACAACAAUAAUAACUGGCAAACAACCGGAGAGAUCUUAAAUAAGGCAGUAAAUGAGGGACAUACAGGUGCUGAGGAUUAACUGAUAAUUGACUAAUGAACUAAUGCACUAAUGACAACAGGAACAGAACCAAAUAUGGGCAAAUAGGAAUCUAAACCAGGGGGGUG